UCGAGUCCCACUGAGCCCGGCGCAUCGGCUCCCCGACCACGCUGCCGUGACUUAGCGGCAAUCCGUAGGCGGCGGAGGAAGCUCCUUGCGGCAGCGGAGACUGUUUUACCGGCUGGGGAGAGGCGGUUGACUUGGUGGACUUCUUGUCAUCGUCUACGCUUGAUUGCUUGGCUAGGAGAGGGCUCGAUUCCAUGGAAUUCGCCAUUGAGAAGUGAGAGAAAUGCAGAGAGAGACAGUGAGACAGAGAGAUUGGAAAGUGAGAGCGCGA
This 268-nucleotide long non-coding RNA is filed under the name Actinidia chinensis (golden kiwifruit). Its description in RNAcentral is "long non-coding RNA (ACHI_LNC008880)". Lineage: Eukaryota; Viridiplantae; Streptophyta; Magnoliopsida; Ericales; Actinidiaceae. The record is from RNAcentral.